GUUUGCAGAGUUACAGCAUUUAAUGCUCUGAAAUCCACAGUCAGAUGCAUCUUUCUAUUUCCCUUUAAUACCAGCUCCACAGGGGAAUUACACACACUGGGUCAUUGCACCGGCACUCCUUGAUCCACCAGGCUUUCUGGGCUCGCCUGGGUACUUACAGCGUUUCUGCAGUCUUGGAUCAAGACCUGCUAUUAAAGCAAAGGCAUUAAUCUUCCCAUACUCCAACUUACCUCAAGCUUAUAUUUGCAGAAAGGUAACUGACCCUCAUCCCAAGCUGUUCUGACUAUUCCAGGAGCCUUUACAGGAAAACAUCAUUUUGUAGGCUGCACAGCUUCUUCACAGACAUGCUGUUGACCCUGCGAAGCACACGGAAAAAAGAUCUUCCUGCCCUUCUCUGAUCCCAGGGUUCACACUGCCCGUCCCUGCCUGUCAACCAGGGGCUGGUGGCUGAAGGACCGUGCAGAGGAGCAGCUGCCCAUGAAGGUGAACAUACAACAUUGUAAAGCUGCUGCAUCCACACUGGUGUGUCUGUGAGCAAGCUACGUGUCUCCCAGACCCUUCCUUUUAACUGUGUUGACAGAGGUCUCAGCCAAACUCACCAAAUCAAUGUGGUUCCUUUCUGAACAUGAUUUCAGCAACAGAGAAUAACCACCUACAGCUGCAGUACCCAGAUAAUAAAUUCUGUUCCUCCUGGCAUCACCUGUCCAAAUCCUAACCCUACACGGUCCUUAAGCCAUGGCAAUGUCACAUGAGAGAGGUCACAGCAGGGCUCAGGAACACCUGGGAAUGCUGUUUGCAUCUCUGUCAGCUCCAGGGUCCCGAAUGCCUCCAUCACACAGAGCAUCUGCCUGAUGCUCUGACUGUUGCCAUGUCAGAGCAGUGGGUAAAGGUCCUCUCCUCUCCAGUGGAGAGGAGGUGUGGAACUGGCAGGCAAUUCACUGAUUUCAGCAUUGAAACACGUGGGGAUCUUGCAUGACUUCCCUGGUGCUCCUGCUGGAGGACAAAGCUUGGAAGAUGUGCUGUACGGCACAGCACAUGAGGAACGGGGAGAUGGGGAAGCGGAGGGAAGAAGAACAAAGGCUGAAAGAAAAGCAAAAACCCCUCCCAAGAAUGCCACCAACAUCCUCCUAUUCAGCUGUUUGCAUUAGGAGAAUAUUUCAGUUUUGACUGCUCAAGUGUGUUGUUUUGUUUACCUUGGGGACUUUUAGGGCAAAUUAUAAAAAAAGGCCAGUUUGCUUCACUCUCAUUUUUAGACAGUUUCGCUUUCAGCUUCCUCUGCACAAACAACAUGCUACAAUUUGGGGGCUGCAAAGGCUGCAGGGAGAUAUUGAUUUCCUCACAAUAACACUAAAACAGUUCGACCCAACAUUUUCUGAAGGCUUUUACAAAACAUACAUUUUGAGGGACAAGUUUGGCUUGACAGACUUCUUUUAAAGAGAGCUACCUUUCUUGCAGCCACCUUAGAACCCUUAGUUACUGCUUUAUAUUACAAAAAGACAAUUGUAAAUGCGAGAAAUUUCUCAGGUAAAUUCCCUCUAAUGUUUCAGAUCAUCUGGCUAUGUGAAAACCUGCACUGUAACGCAAGAAAAAUUCCAA
Long non-coding RNA from Prinia subflava (tawny-flanked prinia), 1596 nucleotides. RefSeq lists it as uncharacterized. The transcript has 3 exons. The record is from RefSeq and is a predicted model, not a curated record. NCBI's taxonomy places the organism in Eukaryota, Metazoa, Chordata, Aves, Passeriformes, Cisticolidae.